Molecule: microRNA precursor, 113 nt
Organism: Chlorocebus sabaeus (green monkey)
Lineage: Eukaryota; Metazoa; Chordata; Mammalia; Primates; Cercopithecidae
Source: Ensembl
AUGGGAUGGGGCUGGCCGGUCGUGGGAUCUGGAGGCCUCUGGGGUUAGAAUGUGACCCCAGUCUCCUUUUCCCUCAUCAUCUGCCAGCCCUUAUGGCCCAUGUGCCUCUUCCU